Molecule: non-coding RNA, 28 nt
Filed under: Rattus norvegicus (Norway rat)
Lineage: Eukaryota; Metazoa; Chordata; Mammalia; Rodentia; Muridae
Source: RNAcentral
UGCCUGUGCUUGGAGGACUCCUCUGGAU